GGUUUUAUUUUUUGAUAAUUCAGUCUAACGGUUUCCCAUUUCUGUCUCGUAAAGGCCAAAAGUAAUUCACUUCAUAUGUGCCCGAAAGUGCGCGUGCUUGUAUCUUGCCCUUAUCAAAACAAACAGUAGAAUGCUUAUCCAUAAAUAAAUAGUUAAAAAUGACGUCAUGAAAUGGUUUGUCGAGUUCUCUAGCGUUUUUGUUGAACGUUUUCGUAAAGUGAUAUCAAGCGUUGUUUAAUUUAGAUGCUAUGAUACGGGAUAAGGUUACAAAAUACUUUCACAUUUAAUCUAGUUUCUUUCGUACAUUAAAAUAUUGUAAUUUGAAAGGAUCUUCCACGUAUAAAGCAUCAGGAGCAGUUAAAACACUCCCGAAGUCAGCUCGGUGAUUAGAACAUUGGGUGACACGGGACCACCCGAACAAACGGAAGUUUUGGGGCGGAGGGGGGUUAACCAAGGAAAUGCGAGAUAAAGACACAAGAUUCAAUUCAAACGAGAGAAAACAGAAGGGGUUUCCCUUUUGUACGAGGAAUUCCUUUUAUUUGGAAUAGUUGUGGGACCAGAUUGCAAAUGGAUUCUGGCGAAAUGUGUUCGUGUAAAUCAAUGAGAGGCUUUCUUUGUAUAGGACUAUUGGGAUCGUUAUAUUAUUAUAACCGGAGAUUCGGCAAGCUGAAUUUGCAGUGGUUUAAAAAUAUAUGCCGUAGAAACUAUCGCUGGAGAAGACUGGGUUCUUGAGUGGGAAUCACGCACCGGCAAACUUAGUGUGGGAUGGGAUACCCACCGUUCCGCUGGAACCAUGAAUUGUGAAAGCGGCACGAGCGCCUGAUCGAACGAAAACAUUGUAAAGUCUUGAUCUCGAAGAAUAUUAGAGAAUGGAAGCGCUAUGAAAAUCACGCAACACAGAAUUCACGACAGUGAAACUAGCAACUCACGAUCAAUGUGCGAUUAAUGGCAAAUACUAAAAUUGACAGAUCCUAAAAAUUCAAUUAUAAAUACAAUUAAACAUACAA
Long non-coding RNA from Bombyx mori (domestic silkworm), 1007 nucleotides. RefSeq lists it as uncharacterized. The record is from RefSeq and is a predicted model, not a curated record. The transcript is spliced from 5 exons. Lineage: Eukaryota; Metazoa; Arthropoda; Insecta; Lepidoptera; Bombycidae.